UGCCCGGGCCACGCUUCUCUUGUCCUUCAUGUAACAGCCAACGAGUUUGUUGCAAUUGCUGCUGUUGUUGGGAUGACGAGCGCGGAUCCGCUGCAUUCAGACGAUCGAAAUAGCGCUGCUCUGCUUCCAAACGGUGAUCCUCGUCAAUAUUGGAAACCAACUCCUCGAUAUGCUGAUUAUACGCGUCCACGAGCGUAACAACGGCACCAUGGUCUCCCGUUUCCCCCGGGACAUAAUCCAACGCAGUGAGAAACUCGACAGGAUUGCGCACCACAUUGAUGCCGAAGUUCCGACGGAGUUCACACACAAUUUGCCCGAUGAGCCAUCCUUGUCGGAAAUCCACACGCAGGGACAAUUAAUCAAACCAGACGGGGGAAUAUAACUCUUUCCUCCACGGGCAUAGUCAUACGGAGACGGUCGAAGACCACAAUCCACCAUGAGAUGGGACCAUUCAAAUGUUGGUUCAGGCCAUCCAACAUGAGGAUCGGGGUACAUUGGCGGCUGAACAUCGGCCAAGACAUCUGCCAAGACCUGCACCGAAUCCUCCGAGGAACUCGUAGUAUCCUCGUGCGUGAAGGAAUGAUGUGCUGGCACUUUCGGGCGAUACAUUAUAGCGGUAAAAAUCGCAUUUGCGGCCAGCUAAAAGCAGCUUUCCACGCAGAUGAUAUGCCGAAAGAGCAACGAACGCUACUACGUCACUGCGGACUGUCCAAUGGCGAAUACACACCGUCAAUCUAACUAGAGGGAGAUGCCAGGCCGCGUAUGCAGAUUCCUCGAGAGUACAAUCUCCAUCAACAACGGCGUCCCACAACAUCAUGUCACUGCACUCCAUCUGGCGAUACCUCCAGAAUUCCUGCUUAUCAAGGGCGUCAUCGGAUAUUACGCCUUGUGGCCAGAACUGCUCAAUUGGGCGUGCCCAAGCCGGAACUGGGAGAGUUCUGUCUUCUAUAACUGCAGCAGAAGUUUUUGUUGGCUGCGCCGGCCCAAU
Paramacrobiotus metropolitanus is the source of this 988-nucleotide long non-coding RNA. RefSeq lists it as uncharacterized. Lineage: Eukaryota; Metazoa; Tardigrada; Eutardigrada; Parachela; Macrobiotidae. The record is from RefSeq and is a predicted model, not a curated record. The transcript has 4 exons.